UUGCAUUCUUACAUGUUUUAUAUUCCCAAACCAAAUUCAUUCUUCUUUCCUAAUGUUUGGAUUUUUUUUUCUCGUUUGUUGUUAGAUGAGUAUCACCACAUUGCAUAUCAAAAAUUGGCUUACCUUUCUAUAAAUUGCGUGCGUCUUCUUCCUCGCCCCCAAACCGCCUCGCCCAAAAAAAACCUAAAAGCAUUAGGGUUUAGGAGGGAGAUCAAAAUUGGGUCAUCCCCACCCCAAUUGACUUGCGUAGGCUGCAAUGGAUGAUGCGACAAGUUUUGCGAUCGCAACGGGAGCUGAUCCGAACCUUUUAUGGAAAGGUAUUGGUGAUGUGUGUUUUCUGCGAAUUGAUAGUGAAGCUAGAUCUCUUUUAACACUUGGGAAGGGGGGUCCUCCUGAUUAUAUUCUCGCUCCCUACGGCAGAACCACGCGAGGCAAAGAGCUUCCACGGCGUUGCAGAGGUAUACAGAGAUUCAUGUUUCCACGCGCCGGUGAUUAUUUUGAUCUUGUGGUUCUGGGAGUCUUACCGAUGGGCAUAGAUGGAUUUGAGUGGGUUUCCGGCGAUAGAAUCAGAGGUGGUGAUGGUGAAGGAAAAGCAGCAUGCUUCUUUCCUAUAAAGGAGGAAGAAUUUGUUAUAAAGGAAGAAUUUGUUACUAUAAAGGAAGGCUUCUUUCCCCCUUUUGUUAUAAACCAUCCAAAAGCGCCUUGGGAUAGUCUUGAUGAAGCAAUGAAGACUCAAGUGAGAAACGAGGCAUGUUUGAAAGCGAAUGAAGCACUGCGUAGAGCUGGGUAUCAUCAAUAUCAUGUGUGUUGUGAACAAAUAGAUCUAGAUUCUAUGCUUGUCCAUUCUUCAGAGUGGGGACACAUAACAGAGCCUCGCGCAUUGGCUUGGGAAUUAGUGGACGCAUAUGACGCAUAUUUGCCGACGAGGAAGAAUUGAGCUCUUGAUGCUCAUUCUCAAGGUGAUGGGUAUCCGACGAGUAGCGGGUUAGCGGAUAUCCGAGGGUGGUGGGUAUCCGCGGAUGACGAAUGUGAGUAUUUGGGCCAUACUCGAGGAACUGAAUGAGAGAGAGAGAGAAGCAAAUCUUCUAUGAUAUGUGGACUUUUGUAGCGUUUUUGAAAAUAAAACGAAUCUGGAAUGUGGGGGCAUACGUAGCAGAUUACAAAAGGAUAAUAUCUAAAGGGCGUGUUCGGGUUUCAUGCCGAUUUCAGUUUGAAUUGCUUCCGGCUCUCACUCUCACUCUCAUUGGAAGAGAGGUUGAAACCUGUUUGAGAAUCAUUACAGAAGUCAUUCAUAACCAAACCUUCUCCCGCCCAGAAAACAUCUCUUGUGGAGUGACUAAAAGGAACGCCUAUUUUACCACGAAAUUUGAAAUAGAAAGUGACCAUGGUUUGCCAGUGGAAAUUAUGGCCCUAUGGGAGGUUGAGAUGAACAAAUGCUAUAACAGGAUAGUUGCUAGAGCAAGAGAAGACGGUGGUGGUGGUGGUGGUGGUGCUGGUGCUGGUGCUGCAGCGGCUGGGGAUGGUGGCGCGUGAUGUGGCGCAGCUGGUAACUUUUUAGUUAGCUAUUUUUUGGGAAAAUCGAUAAUAAAACAAAAAUGUUUGAUUCAAUGUAUAUGAGUUUAUUUUGGGUUCCCUUUUGUGUUUCACAUUUUGUUCGGUGGCAUAUACUCCCUCCAUCCACCAAAAAUAUGUCACUUUACUUUCGGCACGGAUUUUAAUAAAAUGUGAGUGAAGUUGGUAGUGGA
Salvia miltiorrhiza (redroot sage) is the source of this 1745-nucleotide RNA transcript. RefSeq lists it as uncharacterized. The transcript is spliced from 6 exons. The record is from RefSeq and is a predicted model, not a curated record. NCBI's taxonomy places the organism in Eukaryota, Viridiplantae, Streptophyta, Magnoliopsida, Lamiales, Lamiaceae.